RNAcentral lists this ribosomal RNA (332 nucleotides) under Acinetobacter baumannii. RNAcentral's name for it is "bacterial SSU rRNA". It matches the Rfam family "Bacterial small subunit ribosomal RNA", at positions 1 to 333 of the family's 1533-position model. Lineage: Bacteria; Pseudomonadati; Pseudomonadota; Gammaproteobacteria; Moraxellales; Moraxellaceae. The record is from RNAcentral.
UUUAACUGAAGAGUUUGAUCAUGGCUCAGAUUGAACGCUGGCGGCAGGCUUAACACAUGCAAGUCGAGCGGGGGAAGGUAGCUUGCUACUGGACCUAGCGGCGGACGGGUGAGUAAUGCUUAGGAAUCUGCCUAUUAGUGGGGGACAACAUCUCGAAAGGGAUGCUAAUACCGCAUACGUCCUACGGGAGAAAGCAGGGGAUCUUCGGACCUUGCGCUAAUAGAUGAGCCUAAGUCGGAUUAGCUAGUUGGUGGGGUAAAGGCCUACCAAGGCGACGAUCUGUAGCGGGUCUGAGAGGAUGAUCCGCCACACUGGGACUGAGACACGGCCCA